UCCCCGAUAGAUCACGGUGCCUGGAAUGGCCUGUGAUCCAAAUGAUUUAUCGCCGUAGGAUGGGACUGCGGCCUAUCAGCUAGUUGGUGAGGUAAUGGCCCACCAAGGCUAUAACAGGUACGGGCUCUGAGAGGAGGGGCCCGGAGAUGGGUACUGAGACACGGACCCAGGCCCUAUGGGGCGCAGCAGGCGAGAAACCUUUGCAAUGUGCGAAAGCACGACAAGGUUAAUCCGAGUGUCUCCUGCUAAAGGAGUCUUUUGCCGGUCAUAGAACCACCGGUGAAUAAGGGGUGGGCAAGUUCUGGUGUCAGCCGCCGCGGUAAAACCAGCACCUCGAGUGGUCAGGAGGUUUAUUGGGCCUAAAGCAUCCGUAGCCGGCUGCUCAAGUUUUCGGUUAAAUCUAUGCGCUCAACGUAUAGGCCGCCGAAAAUACUGGGCAGCUAGGGAGUGGGAGAGGUACACGGUACUCGAUAGGAAGGGGUAAAAUCCUUUGAUCUAUUGAUGACCACCUGUGGCGAAGGCGGUGUACCAGAACACGUUCGACGGUGAGGGAUGAAAGCUGGGGGAGCAAACCGGAUUAGAUACCCGGGUAGUCCCAGCUGUAAACGAUGCAGACUCGGUGAUGCAUUGGCUUGUGGCCAAUGCAGUGCCGCAGGGAAGCCAUUAAGUCUGCC
This 674-nucleotide ribosomal RNA is filed under the name uncultured bacterium. RNAcentral describes it as "bacterial SSU rRNA". It matches the Rfam family "Archaeal small subunit ribosomal RNA", at positions 150 to 825 of the family's 1478-position model. The record is from RNAcentral.